RNA transcript from Zea mays, 1529 nucleotides. It is a transcript of the gene named putative HVA22-like protein g, with no coding region annotated. Lineage: Eukaryota; Viridiplantae; Streptophyta; Magnoliopsida; Poales; Poaceae. The record is from RefSeq and is a predicted model, not a curated record. The transcript is spliced from 7 exons.
GAGAGCAGAGCGAGAGGGCCACUCGGGUUGGUUAGAAGAACCCAAUGCAAGUGUGAGUGAGCUGACGGCACGGCGGACGCGCUCGCCUCUCCUCUCCUCUCCUCUCCUCUCCUCUUCUUCCGGCUCUCCCUCUCCGCAUGCCAUUCCAACGCAUUACCGGUAUUUUUAGCCGCCGGAGGAGACGGGUAGCUGCGUAGCCACUAGCGAGAGAGAGAGGGAGGGGAGAAACCAUAGCUCCUGGCCGUUCUGCCUGCCCAUCCACCGCGGCGCCGGCCGUCCGUCUCCCGUCCACAUCCCUCCUCCUCUCCUGCAAGGUUCCUGUGCGUAGCGCAGAGGGGUCGGAGUCGGAGUCGGAGUCGGAGAAGAUGAUGGGCGGGUUCCUCUCCAGGGUCCUCCUGUUGGCUUUUGGCUAUGCCUAUCCUGCCUACGAAUGCUACAAGACUGUUGAACUGAACAAACCAGAGAUUGCGCAGCUCAUAUUUUGGUGUCAGUAUUGGAUUUUAGUUGCCCUGUUGACAGUUUUGGAGAGAUUCGGAGAUUUCACAAUAUCAUGGCUACCGUUCUACUCGGAAGCAAAGCUGAUGUUCUUUGUAUACUUGUGGUACCCUAAGACAAAGGGAACUACGUAUGUUUAUGGAACUUUCUUUAAACCAUAUAUUUCUCAGCAUGAGAAUGAAAUCGACCGGAAUCUCCUUGAGCUGAGAGCUCGAGCCACCGACACGGUUGUACUUUAUUUUCAGAAGGCUGCUUCGGCAGGACAAAGUACUUUCUUUUGACGUUUUAAAAUAUGUUGCUGGCCCAGUCACCUUCUCAGAAAUCAAGGCAACGCCUUCAUCAGGAUUCACAGCAGCCGCCACAACAACAACAACCACAAGUGCAGGUGCAGCAGGCGCAACCACAAAAACAAGCAGCACCUGUUAUGCGCAGAGCAUCAUCUAUUGCUGCUCGGCAAGCAGCAAUGGCACAGCAAUCUCAGGAGACUAAACCCGUUUCAUCUUCGCCCAAGAUCAAGCGUCAAACAUCAGCGAGAUCUGGUUCAGUGGCAUCCACAAAGCCUCCGGUAGCUGCAUCCGCGCUAAAACCUGGUGGUAGCCCAAAGAAAGGCGAGGUCAAACCUGCUGCCGACCCAGUUCAAACUCCAACCACAGGUGCCGAUUCACCGAAACCCGAGCCUAGCGCCCCAUCACUCCCUGGAGCCGAAGGGGUGGACAAGAUGGCCAUCGACGAGGCCAGUGGUGACGCCCCAGAGGGCGCAGAAGAGCUUGACCCUGCGCUCGAAGAGGAGACGCCGAUGGAGGAGACGAUCCGUGUGACGCGCGCCAAGCUAAGGAGGCGCACGGCCACCGAAGAUCCUGCUGGGAAUUAGCUGUAGGCCAUUGUUUUUCCUUUCCCUGCACAUUGUGUUGAUCUUUUUUUGGGUUUUAGGCUGUCAUGUUGUUUGGUGGAAUGGAGAUGUGUUGUUGAAUUGGUUCUUUGUGACACAGUUGAUUAUCUUGUUUCUGUGCUUUUUUGGUGCCCUUUUCUUGUUA